This 468-nucleotide ribosomal RNA is filed under the name uncultured bacterium. RNAcentral describes it as "partial 16S ribosomal RNA". It matches the Rfam family "Bacterial small subunit ribosomal RNA", at positions 28 to 507 of the family's 1533-position model. The record is from RNAcentral.
GACGAACGCUGGCGGCGUGCUUAACACAUGCAAGUCGAACGGAAAGGCCCUGCUUUUGUGGGGUGCUCGAGUGGCGAACGGGUGAGUAACACGUGAGUAACCUGCCCUUGACUUUGGGAUAACUUCAGGAAACUGGGGCUAAUACCGGAUAGGAGCUCCUGCUGCAUGGUGGGGGUUGAAAAGUUUCGGCGGUUGGGGAUGGACUCGCGGCUUAUCAGCUUGUUGGUGGGGUAGUGGCUUACCAAGGCUUUGACGGGUAGCCGGCCUGAGAGGGUGACCGGCCACAUUGGGACUGAGAUACGGCCCAGACUCCUACGGGAGGCAGCAGUGGGGAAUAUUGCACAAUGGGCGGAAGCCUGAUGCAGCAACGCCGCGUGCGGGAUGACGGCCUUCGGGUUGUAAACCGCUUUCGCCUGUGACGAAGCGUGAGUGGCGGUAAUGGGUAAAGAAGCACCGGCUAACUACGUG